UGUGGUGAAACUCUCCUUUAUCACAGAGGGUUGAGUAUGAUCCUGUUGCUGAACCCGAACUCCUCGGCCGGAUCCACAGACGGGGGACACAGACAGUCUGCAGUUCCUCCACUGAAUCCGCUUGUACUAAUGAAGCGAUUGAGAUGUGCUCAAGGAAUCAGAAUAUGAUAAUGAGUCAAAACUGCCGUCUGCAUGUGUGUGUGAGAUGAAGGGUUAAUGACAUCAUCCUCCAGGAAGUGACAUCAUUUUGGAGGGAAAUGUGUCCCCUGUCUGAGAGUCAGGAGGAAUGUGAACACACCAGACGCGACGGCACGAGAGAUACGGCUCUUCACGAGAACAG
Molecule: non-coding RNA, 340 nt
Organism: Pimephales promelas (fathead minnow)
Lineage: Eukaryota; Metazoa; Chordata; Actinopteri; Cypriniformes; Leuciscidae
Source: RefSeq, a predicted model, not a curated record